GGGAAGAGCUCAAAUUUGAAAGCUGGCGUCCUACGGGCGUCCGCAUUGUAAUCUAUAGAGGCGUUUUCUGUGCUGGACCGUGUCCAAGUCCCUUGGAACAGGGUAUCAAAGAGGGUGACAAUCCCGUACUUGACACGACAACCAGUGCUCUGUGAUACGUCUUCUACGAGUCGAGUUGUUUGGGAAUGCAGCUCAAAAUGGGUGGUGAAUUCCAUCUAAAGCUAAAUAUUGGCGAGAGACCGAUAGCGAACAAGUACCGUGAGGGAAAGAUGAAAAGCACUUUGGAAAGAGAGUUAAACAGUAUGUGAAAUUGUUGAAAGGGAAACGAUGGAGGUCAGUCGUGUCUGUGGGAUUCAGCCGUCUCGGCGGUGUACUUCCCACAGACGGGUCAACAUCAGUUUUGGCUGGCGGAUAAAGGCAGGAGGAAGGUGGCACCCCCGGGUGUGUUAUAGCCUCUUGUUGCAUACGCUGGCUGAGACUG
This 481-nucleotide ribosomal RNA is filed under the name Saitozyma podzolica. RNAcentral describes it as "partial 26S ribosomal RNA". It matches the Rfam family "Eukaryotic large subunit ribosomal RNA", at positions 100 to 588 of the family's 3401-position model. The record is from RNAcentral. Lineage: Eukaryota; Fungi; Basidiomycota; Tremellomycetes; Tremellales; Trimorphomycetaceae.